CAGACCUGGAGGAAUGUUGUAUCGAUUUCUCUUUUACACUGCCUUCGAGUAAAGCUUCAAUAAGACAUGAAGAAACCGGAGUGGGCUGUCGAGAGCGUGUCGUCGUGCAAGUUUUUACCCUUUUAUAUUUACAUUUUACUGUUUAAUUCUGAUUUUACAGUAGCUAGAAACUUUAAUCCUAGCUUACAUGUAUCACUUACAAAUAGGAACUUUCUGACCACAGCAUCACUGAAUUCUCAAUUAUAUUAUACUUUAUACCAUAACUUAGUAUACUAUUAUACUAAAAAAAUUUUUAGUACACCUGGGUGACUAGGAACAGGAAAUUAUUCAACCAUGACUUCCUGUUUCACAGGGGUAUAAAUAUGAGGUAACACACAGGCCAAAUUCCCUUAGUCAUUCAUAACAAUGUUUAAGAGUGAGGAAUGUAGCUGUGAUGUGCGGCAAAAGGUUGUUGAGCUUCACACAAUGGGGCGUGUCUAUAAGAAAAUAGCACAAGCAUUGAAAACGCCUAUUUCCACCAUCAGGGCAAUAAUUAAGAAGUUCCAGUCGACUGGAAAUGUUAUGAAUCGACCUGGAAUUGGACGUGUGUCUGUAUCGUCUCAACGCACUGUGAAGAGGACGGUUCGAGUGGAUAAAAAAUAUAUCAGAAGGAUGGAAAGCUGGAGGAUCACAAUAAAAAAAGGAUCACAGCUGGAGAACUGCAGGAGUUAGUCGUGUCUUGGGGUCAGAAAGUCUCCAAAACUACAAUCUGAAGUCACCGACAUCACCACAAGCUGUUUGGAAGAGUUUGAAGAAAAAAGCCUCUACUCUCAUCCAAAAAUAAACUCGAGCGUCUUCAGUGUGCAGACACUACUGGAACUUCAAAUGGGAUUGGGUUCUAUGGUCAGAUUAAACUAAAAUAGAGCUUUUUGGUAAAAAACACAGAGGUGGUUUUGGUAUACACAGAGAGGUAGCCGUAUGGAAAAGUACAUAGGAGAAUACUGUUAUCUUGGCAAAGGGAGGUAGCACAAAGUAUUGACUAAAAGGGGCCAAUAAUUGUGGCACACCUAUAUUUAACAAAAAAAAUAAAUAAAUUAGAAACCUGUGUUGUGUUUGCAAUUGUUUGAUAUCCAUGAGAGCAGGGUUUAAGAGGAAUAAAACACUUGGGCACAUGAUGUUAUUGGAAAAUAACCAAGGCGAUAAGAGUAACUCUGCUUCAUCACGUCACUCAGUAUUUUAUUCAUUAAUUCACUUGAAAUGAUUCGAUUAUUAGUAAUUAUUGAUUGAUUAAUUCAGCAUAUGGGCAAUUGGACUACAGACAUUAUUAAUAAUUAGGUUUUAAUUUGUUACUGAGAAAAAAAACUUUCUUCAUUACAGGGAAAAGACCAUCACCAGUCUAUGUGAAGAGCACGAAUGGUUGGAGAAAGUCUACAAAACUUAUGACUGGUGUCUGAUGAAAGGUUACUCACCUAAACAGGACAGCUGUGUUAUUCACCCCUUGUCCGUCAAUAAUUUUUUCGAUGCAAAAACAGCAGACGACUGCUGUUACCUGUUCUGUCAAACUCCAGCCAAAGUCUUUACAACUCAAGAAGAAAAAACACACAACUUCUGUGAACAAAUCAGCUUCAAUGUUACCCUCCGUACCACAAGUGACUGUACAAGAAACCACAAUAGUUUGGCUCGUGAGUUCAUCAGAACAACUUACAACUGCCUGAAGUGGGCUUUCUGAGAUGUUGUUAUCAGCUGAAAAGCACAAGCUAAACUUCAAUCCUCUCUCCAUUAAUCAGAAAUGAGUCUGUGCUGACAAAGAUUUUAGAAAUCACCUCUGAUGAUAAACCUUGC
Molecule: long non-coding RNA, 1821 nt
Organism: Ictalurus punctatus (channel catfish)
Lineage: Eukaryota; Metazoa; Chordata; Actinopteri; Siluriformes; Ictaluridae
Exons: 4
Source: RefSeq, a predicted model, not a curated record